Molecule: non-coding RNA, 73 nt
Organism: Protopterus annectens (West African lungfish)
Lineage: Eukaryota; Metazoa; Chordata; Ceratodontiformes; Protopteridae
Source: the annotation of a RefSeq genome assembly
GGCUCUGUAGUUCAGCAGUUAGAGCACUGGUCCUGUAAAUCAGGGGUCAUGAGUUCAAAUCUCAUCAGGGCCU